Molecule: ribosomal RNA, 249 nt
Filed under: uncultured bacterium
Lineage: Bacteria
Description: partial 16S ribosomal RNA
Rfam family: Bacterial small subunit ribosomal RNA
Source: RNAcentral
CUAGCCGUAAACGAUGGGUACUAGGUGUGGGAGGUAUCGACCCCUUCCGUGCCGGAGUUAACGCAAUAAGUACCCCGCCUGGGGACUACGAUCGCAAGAUUGAAACUCAAAGGAAUUGACGGGGGCCCGCACAAGCGGUGGAGUAUGUGGUUUAAUUCGAUGCAACGCGAAGAACCUUACCUGGGUUUGACAUCCACGGAACCCUCUUGAAAGAGAGGGGUGCCCUUCGGGGAGCCGUGAGACAGGUGC